UCCCUCAUGAGAAAUACAAAUGGUUUUGUCUUUUUUUUUUUUUUCAUCUUUAAUAAAUCAAAAUCUGAGAAGCAUUUCCUAAGUGUUUUCCCUGUGGCAGUGGAGGGGAAUAUACAUCUUAAUUUUGAAGUCAUUUGGACAUUUUAAAAUAUGGAGUACGGAGAAUAAAGUAAACCCAUCUCUACAAAGUAGAUGCUAAAAUUCCUUAACGCCAAUGAAUUACAGAAUGUGGUUGAUGAAAGUAGUUCUACCGUUUUUAAAAACAGGUGUCAGAAGUAGCCAAGCUUCCCCACCCCUGAGUGGCAUCUGGGUGAGGAAAAGACUACUGUGUGCUUUGCUGAUGGCUGUACUGUUCUCUGCGCACCCCUGAACAGUGUCCAGCACAAACUAUGAUGUAUGGAAUUCUGGCAGCCAACUUGUGACCAUGAGGCAGAGUCCAAGAAAACUACAGAGAUGCCAGGACCAAGGUGAUAAACCAACCAGCAGCUACCUGCCUCCAGAGUUUUUGAUAUGGGAGGAAAAUAAACUCUUACUAGUUUAA
Mustela lutreola (European mink) is the source of this 541-nucleotide long non-coding RNA. RefSeq lists it as uncharacterized. The transcript is spliced from 3 exons. The record is from RefSeq and is a predicted model, not a curated record. NCBI's taxonomy places the organism in Eukaryota, Metazoa, Chordata, Mammalia, Carnivora, Mustelidae.